Long non-coding RNA from Phacochoerus africanus (Common warthog), 2221 nucleotides. RefSeq lists it as uncharacterized. The transcript is spliced from 3 exons. The record is from RefSeq and is a predicted model, not a curated record. Lineage: Eukaryota; Metazoa; Chordata; Mammalia; Artiodactyla; Suidae.
AAGGCGUGGCCGCCAGGGGAGCGCGCAGCGCCGCUUCGCGGGCGAGCAAACUGGGGCGGGAAGGGCGGUAGGCCUCAGCGCGUCCCACCUUCCGCAGGGCCGGGCGGCUCCCUGCGGUGACCGCCGCGAGGGCAGCGGAGACUGAGCCCAGGUCUCAAAGUUCUUGGUGGAACAGCAGGCAGCACAGCCAUCAGUGCAGUCUCCGGUGUCCCAGCUGGCGCAGCCCCUGCAUGUUCGCGUGAACCAGUCCCAUUGCCUCCCCAAAGGGGCUGCCGAUCAUUGAGUCACACCGAUUCAGGGCCCGAGGCUCACAGACUCAACCCAGACUCAACAGUGUUUCCUGGAGGCAAAGAAAGCGAAUCGUAGCAUCGGAUGGUUCUGCCUGUCCCCCGAGGGGACCGGCGCCCACGUGGCUCAGCAGACCAGGUGGGGGAGGACCUUUCAGUGCCAGGCUCAGGCGGCCCCUUGGCCCAACCAGAUCCUCUGCAAGAGCUGAGACCCUGCCCCUUUGUAUAACACUGUCAUCACACCUGAAAAGCCACCCGGUUAUGACCAGAGGGCAGGGCCACCUCGUCAGCUUAAGGAGGCUGGUCAGGAAGCGGAGAUGAGAGUAUUAAUGGGGAAGUCAACAGUGCCCCGUGCCUUUCAAAUCAGCUGCUUUGGUUGAGAGGCAAAUGUCCCCACAGCGCAUGAGUGGGAGAAUCUGGCAUCUUUACAUUUAAACUCAAAUCCUGCGACGGGCCUGACCUUUCUGCGUGGAAGGAUCGGGGAACUGAGGCUAAUCCAGUCCAUGAAGGACCAUCGGAUGCAGCAAACGCCACGCCAUGAUGUGAACAGCGUCUUCCCUUGUUGUUCUUAUUUAUAUUUUAUUAGGACUUUAUUGAAUGUUUUCUUGUAGGUCACCUGGAACCCUCUGGGGAAUAAAGCAAAGCAAAAAUAAAUAAAUGCUUUGAAUUAAGGCGUAGGAGGGACAGCGUUCCAGAGAAGUGAACACUCAGAUAAUCAGAGAGGGGCUUUGUACAGAGACACCAAUCCCAGCGACAGGCAACAGGGGCAGCUCCCAUCUCCAAGUGGCGAAACUUGCUUAAUGCCUAGCAGACACUUUCCACAUUACAUCUAUCACCUGGUACACUUACCCCAGCAUCCGGCAGCCUGGGCUUACGGGGACCCUCCCUGCCUCAGCUCCCGAGCCGGCCCUGUGCCUGGGGGAAGGCAGUGCCGGCAGAGGAGUGGUUCUGAGUGUGGGGCAGUGGGACCAGGGCACCUGUACACCAGCCCUGUUUCUGUUUCUUCGGCCAAGUGUCCCUGAGCACACCUGUAAGUGGGUCAAUCCAGCACCUGCCUCAACAGGAGAAUUUUGAGCUCGUGGAUGGAGACAGAAUGAGUUUUCAGCAAAUAGCAGCUAAGACUGAAGCCCUGGUCCCCCGGGGGGAUCAGCCUCCCCAGUAGGUAACCCAGGACAUCCAGGGCCAUUGGACUGUGGGGUCUCAGAGCCUCAGGAAGACUCCUGGGGAUGGAAAAGCCUGGGGUGUCUCCAAAAGUGAAAAGGAAGAAAGACAGUGCUCCAGAAAGAUAGAACCACACACACACAAAGUCUUGGAGACUGGCCCGCAGAGGGCGGGGAAGCCAGCCUGGCGGGGCGGGCAGCUGAGGAAGGGGAAGGAGCCGGCUCUCCUGCGUGGACACUGAAAACCAAGCAAACAACAAGAUUAAUUCGCACAGGCAGACGGCUCAAAACACUGUGUGUGUGACCUGAAUGCUAUGUAAAUACUGGAAGCAGAUGAAGCAGAGAAGAAUUCUUGGAUUGCUCCAAGGGACACAGGUCCUGGAAUUUCUGCCUCUUGCUUGUGCUUCCAGAACUGAAAUUAGGCCUCUGCCAGAGAAGGAGGCGGCACUCCUGGUUUGGGCAAAGGUAAAAGUACAAGCACCCAGCGUGCCCUCAAAAAUACCUGUGGAAGAAAGGAGGGAUAGAAGGGGUUGAAAGGCUCAUGAAUAUUUUUCAGGUGUUCCCCUCUUGCCUGCAAGUUGCAGAAGAAUUGACAUUUCAUCAGCUGGAGCACCAGCUCCCGGAGGACCCAGAGACCACUCACUGAUGUGCGCCUAUUGAACUUGGGGAGAAAAGAGGUCCUUCCAGGCCAGAACCUCCUGGGUUAACACUGCCAGGAUCUUCCUAUGAACAGGAACACUUGUAGUUCUGAAUUUCAUCUCGAAGGAAGGGGAA